CAAAACCUUAAGCACAUCUUCAGCUGUUCCGAGUAACUAUCAAAGGCCUCCUCCCUCUAGUUACCAGGAUGAGAGAAACCCUAAUGGCCACUGGAACCAUGGCAAUUCUAAUCAGUGGGGCUCACCCCAGGGCCAGAGUAACCCUAAUCAGUGGCCCUCUCAAGGCGGAAGGAACCAUAUUCAAUGGAAUGAACAGACCCAGACCCAGCAACAACUUCCUCAACAUAUGAACUCUGCCAAUAGUCAGUUCAAAUACCAAAAUUUUAAACAGAAUAAUGGCAAUAGGGGAUACCCUGUAUCAUUUGCUCAACAAGAACC
Molecule: unclassified non-coding RNA, 318 nt
Filed under: Hevea brasiliensis (rubber tree)
Lineage: Eukaryota; Viridiplantae; Streptophyta; Magnoliopsida; Malpighiales; Euphorbiaceae
Source: RNAcentral